This 74-nucleotide transfer RNA is filed under the name Anaerolineae bacterium. Its description in RNAcentral is "tRNA-Ile". It matches the Rfam family "tRNA". From Rfam's summary of the family: Transfer RNA (tRNA) molecules are approximately 80 nucleotides in length. The record is from RNAcentral. Lineage: Bacteria; Bacillati; Chloroflexota; Anaerolineae.
GGGAAUGUAGCUCAGCUGGUUAGAGCACUCGCCUGAUAAGCGAGAGGUCACAGGUUCGAGUCCUGUCAUUCCCA